RNAcentral lists this transfer RNA (70 nucleotides) under Alosa alosa (allis shad). RNAcentral describes it as "tRNA-Val". The record is from RNAcentral. Lineage: Eukaryota; Metazoa; Chordata; Actinopteri; Clupeiformes; Clupeidae.
GGCGUGGUGGAGCAGAGGUAACGUUAUCAACUAACAAUCGGUCAAUCCAGGUUUGAUUCCUGCCGUGCCG